CGUUACAAUUUGAAGACUCAAGAAUUCCAGAGAAAAACCUUUAUUACCCUGAGGGCUCAGAGUUCAUUCUGGCUCUAUCAGAAAUGAGAGCCUCCUUAUAUAGGAAUCUACAGAGUAGGUGAGCAUGUUCACUGAUGCAGUGGCUGGAGUUAUAGAACAUUCUUGCAAGGGGGCGGAGCCUAACAGAACAUUCUUGAAAGGGGGUGGAGCUUAACAGAACAUUCCUGAAAGGUCACACAGUUCAGUCACAAACCACUGAGAUACAUUGGGUAGCAGCCAAACUUACAUUUCUGGAACAAAACAUUCUGUGGAAAAAAACAAAACAAACAUGGUGGGAUGGUGAAAGCCAGAUGCUCCUAAUGAGUGGGGGCCCAGCACACACACGCUCCCCUUGCUGCUCCCCAUGAGGGAACACAGGAGUCCCGGCUGCUGUACAGAUCUGUGGGGAGGCAGGGAGGUGCUGGUGCUGCUCGAUCUGCUCACCCUGACCAGGGCAGGAUGACACGUCCCUGCUGCUGCGGCAUCACACGGAAUAGCUCCACGGCGCUAACCUUCCAUGUUCUGCCUGUCCUCUUCCCUCAUGAGCCCGGCAACCACCGACCUUCGGGAGCCAUAACUCCCUGAACGACCCACCUGUUUAUUGACUCUUCGGGCUAACCAUCCAGGGGCACCCUUCAGAUCACCUCGGACUUAUUGGG
Molecule: long non-coding RNA, 698 nt
Filed under: Fukomys damarensis (Damara mole-rat)
Lineage: Eukaryota; Metazoa; Chordata; Mammalia; Rodentia; Bathyergidae
Description: lncRNA (ENSFDAG00000033104.1)
Source: RNAcentral